Non-coding RNA from Lolium perenne, 3248 nucleotides. The record is from RefSeq and is a predicted model, not a curated record. Lineage: Eukaryota; Viridiplantae; Streptophyta; Magnoliopsida; Poales; Poaceae.
ACGUUUCAACCGUGGUAUUAUAGGAGCAUACCACAUAACCUUGGCAGGAACCCUCUUCCUAGGGGGCUCGCCCUCAACAUCACCAGGGUCAUCUCGCCUGAUCUUAUACCGAAGUGCAGUGCAUACCGGACAUUUUUCCAAAUUUUCAUACUCAGCGCGGUAGAGGAUGCAGUCAUUAAUGCAUGCAUGUAUCUUCAGCACCUCUAAUCCUAGAGGGCAGAGAACCUUCUUUGCUUCGUACGUACUGUCAGGCAAUUCGUUAUUCUUUGGAAACCUCCUCUUCAUUAUUUUCAAUAACUUCUCAAAUGGCUUGUCACAUAUACCAGCAUCUGCCUUCCAUUGCAGCAACUCCAGGGUGGCACCGAGCUUUGUGUUGCCAUCUUCGCAAUUUGGGUAUAACUUCUUUUUGUGAUCAUCUAACAUGCCCUUUAACUUUCGCUUCUCGUUUUCUGUUUCUGCAUCUCUGUGUGCAUCGGUGAUGGCCCGACGAAGAUCAUCAUCAACGGGCUCAUCUGAUGCCUCUUCAUCUUGAUCACCUCCUCCUGCAUCUUCAUCUUCAUCAUGCCCUGUUGCAGUAUCACCGUAGUUAGGGUACAUAUCAUCAUCCUCUUCUUCUUCUUCGUCGUCUUCCAUCAUAACCCCUCUUUCUCCACGCUUGGUCCAACAAUUAUAGCUGGGCAUGAAACCUUUCCAAAGCAGGUGGGAGUGAAUGACUUUCCAUUCAGGGUAUUGCUUCAAGUUAUGGCAAUCAACACAUGGACAACACAUAAAACCAUCCGCCUGUGGGUUUUCCUGAGCCACACGGAUAAAUUCUUCCAGGCCCGAUCUGAACUCGGGUAGACAUCGGUCAACGUACAUCCAUUGCCGCCGGUUCAUCUACAUCAAAUAAUUAAUUAAGUUUAUCAAUAAACAAUUACAAAACAUCAUAAUAUUUAUAAAUAGUGGAAAUUAGCACCGUACAAAUGAAAGGGUAAAGUUGUUGCUUAACCUUGAUCAAGGAGGAAAGAAAGAGGAGAAAGCUUAAGUGUCGCUCCGGCACCUCAUCUCAUUUUUGUUGGGUGUAAAAUCAAGCGGCAUCACUCUCUCACACAUUUCAUCGAGCACCUUAUGUGCAUGCCACAGAGAAGCAACUUAGCACUCAACACACACACCUUCUCCUAGCAAAAAUGAAGUGAGUGGGCUAUUUGGCCGGGUAGCUGAGCUGAAAUAGGGCUGGGGACCUUUAGCACCGGUUCGUGUUACGAACCGGUGCAAAAGAUAGACCAUUUGCACCGGUUCGUAACACGAACCGGUGCUAAAGGUCCCUCGGCAGGCUGCGCCCCACGAACCGGUGCUAAUGACCCCUUUUAGCACCGGUUCGUGCCAAAUCCGGUGCAAAAGACAUCUGGGGCAAAAAACCAAAGCCCUUGUUUCUACUAGUGACACAUUCAAAAGACUGAUUAUAAGAAACUGAUUUGACGGAUCUUGAAAUUAACGAAAUCACUACAGAGAUCUCGCUAUUGAUGAAAUGUCGCCCUCCACUAAAAAAUAUUUCAACCUUAUAAGACACCAAAGUAUUAAACAUGAAAUUUAAACUCUGAUUAUCUAGGGGCGUCACUUUCCUCCUAACCAUUGAAUGCAGUCGCGGGUUGGCUUUCGUGCUUCCCCAUGCUAGAUCUGGGCUCAAUGAAUUUUCUUGUUUUCUCCCUUUCCUGAGGUUUCCUGAGGUGCUACCAUUGGCGGGUUGGUUUUCGUGCUUCCCCAUGCUAGAUCUGGGCUCAAUGAAUUUUCUUAUUUUCUUCCUUUCCUGAGGUUUCCUGGGGCGCUACCAUUAGCCUACGACCUCCAGAUGCGACAAGGUGCAAAGUCGCAUCAGACUAUCUUGAUUCUUGAACUGGUAAAUGGUACAUGAAGGGAAGCUACUUCAGCAGAUUCAAUUUAAUUUCCGAUAAAAUGCGACCGGGUGACAUUUUUCGUCCUAAUAAAAAGUAAAGCGUGAAACAGUUGUCGUGCGCGUGCUUGUUCGCGCACUGGACUAGCAGCGGGUAAUUUUACGGUUUCAUUCAAUCGACAAUUUUGUUACUCCCUCGACCUGAUUUUAGAUGACGCGACGAAGAAUUUGCAGAAAGGACCUUGGCGAAUUUCCGACACAACAGGACUCCUCCCACCACUCAGCUCAUUCUGUCGUCUUCAUCGGUCUUCCCUUGCCGCUCCACUCGCUCGCUCUCCCGCCGCUCAGGCCACCUGCACAGCGCCCCCAGCCCCAAGCCGCCUUAUUUCUUACCCCCGCCGCGUUGCCCGCCGCCUUGCUCCCCCGCUUCCUUGCUCCUGGCGUUGGUGCCUCCUCCCCCGCCCGAAGUCGCCUUCUUGUAUUUUUCCAUCCAAGACACUGCCGUCGUCGUCCAGCUACCUUCUGUGGUCGAUCUACGCCACUGGCAACACCGUACCCGCGGUCCCAUCCAGCCGCACGGGGAACCUCGCCGUCCGCUCCAGCAGGAAGUUCCCUAAAGUGCGGGUAUGGGUGGCAUCGCGGCAGUGGAGCCGGCCCAUCAACCAACCGCUCGAGUUCUUCGGCGUGUUCUGGUCCAAGCCCCUUGAAGACGAGGACGGCGGAACCCCCUGGGCAUAUUCAGAUCUCUGAAUACUGUCGUGAUUACAUUGAUGCAUCUGUGUGCAAUUUUGGUGGUUUCAGGGAUUGGGCGGCCUUAUGUGACGGUGUCGUUCUACCACAAGUCUGUCAGGACAUUGCUGGUGACAGAUGCUGCCAUUUUUGUUCCUUGGAAUCCUCUUGAAUGUAUCGGCAUUGUUGGCAGCUGCAAAGAAUGGCUUGACGGUGAAGAUAUUGAGUAAAGGGAGGGAUAACUCAGUUUGACCUGAUUUCUGAAUAUGCGAAGUGAAUCGUGCAGCAUCGGUCUCUAACAAGGCCGCUCCGCUUCGUGUGCAGGAUGAGGAUGCUAGCAGGAAGGACGUCGAUCUAAGCGUCUAAAGGGGAAAGUUCUUCUCAUCGCUAACGUCGUGUCCCAGUGGUGAGAAUAAUCAUCUAUGAAACCAAUCCUCUCUGUUUUGGGCUUUUGGCUACGAGAUGUCUUCAAGUUUACACGCACACCAUGUCUAGAUCAUGUAUUGUCAAUUGUCCAUGUUAUCUGUUGUCUAAGUUAUCUAUUGUGUACUAUUUAAUUGACCAAAUUAGUUGGCAAUAAAUUCCAUAGAAAAACCAGUACUGUAUGACUUUGCUGCUUACUUCUCUCGACAAAUGGGAUGUUUACUCA